This 148-nucleotide ribosomal RNA is filed under the name Adiantum reniforme var. sinense. Its description in RNAcentral is "partial small subunit ribosomal RNA". It matches the Rfam family "Eukaryotic small subunit ribosomal RNA", at positions 752 to 893 of the family's 1831-position model. The record is from RNAcentral. Lineage: Eukaryota; Viridiplantae; Streptophyta; Polypodiopsida; Polypodiales; Pteridaceae.
CGGCGAUGUUACUUUGAAAAAAUUAGAGUGCUCAAAGCAAGCCUAUGCUCUGAAUACAUUAGCAUGGAAUAACGCGAUAGGACUCUGGUCUUAUUGUGUUGGUCUUCGGGACCGGAGUAAUGAUUAAUAGGGACAGUUGGGGGCAUUC